AGUUGGCGGCGGCGGCGGCGGCGGGAGCGCAGGUGAGCGGCGGCCGCGCCGGGAGGGAUCCCGCGUUCCGGAGCUGCGGGGCGCCGCCGACCCCGGGGCCGCACGGGCCAGCCUGUCCCGGGGGUGGGAGCGCGGAGCUGCAGCUCCACGCGCCGCGGAGCCCGGGCACGGCGCGGCUCCCCCCUCCCGCGCCCCAUCCUUCGCGCUGCCCGGUGUCGCCCAUGCUGCAGACGGGCCCCGCCGCCCCCCCGUCACCCUCCAGGAGCAGGUGAGCCACUGACUAACGCACAUUGUGCUCUCGGCGACUCCACUGUGCGUGUGACAGCGGCUAACCUGCUCCUCGGACAUCACUGUGCGGCCGCCUCGCCUCCCCGGACCCGCGCCUCGAAGCCUCGACGCCCUCCUGCCCUCUCGGCCAGCCAGCCCUGCAUUUGGGACUGUGCUGGCUGCUGAGUUAACCCCGGGAGAUGCCGCUGGCAGGAGCAGCUCUGCAGGUCGCCUGGCAAGGCCUGUCCCAGUUCCCAUGAGCAGCACUAUGGUGUGAAUGCUUCCGACUUCCUGCUACCGAUGGACCCAUCCUGUUCAGCUCCAGGCAAGGUAGAAUGCAGUCUGCACUCUGAGACGGAGAAAGAAAAAUCAUCAUAGGAGAGCAGACAAUGUUCCCUGCAUGGACACACACGCCAGUUCAAACAGCUCUUCUCCAUCUGCAGUGAACUAUGCUGGGAGAAGCUGUGCAGCCAGGAGCAAGCAGCAGAGCAUCUGUACACCACUUGGGGAGCAAAACCAACAGGCAUUUUCUCCUCCAGACAUUCACACCUUUCCUUAUGUAACUGGUGCUGAAGUGUGUGCUUUAAAAGCUGCUUGCCAAAUCCAGGGGCUGGGAGGCAGCACAAAUGCUUCUAGCACUCUAGAUGAAAUUGAGGGGGAAAAAAACCCCAAACCCAAACACCCAGGAACUUGUACAAAUACGUAACUGCAACUUGGGGAUGGUUCAAGUGUCUACAGCAGUGUUAUCCUGAAGAAACUGCACUGGCCUGGAGCAGUGCUGGCACCCAGACCACCAUCUGAUGAGGAUGGUGAGGAGCUCACUGUCCAGGAUAGAGGGGUGAGGAGCUGGGGGCCAUUUUUCUUACACAAUAGUAAAAAAACAAAAACCAAAAAAUCUAAAAAAAAAAAAAAAAAAAAAAACCACAUAGUGCAGCCAGGAAAAGGGUGCCAGGGAGGCUGGAGGUGGCUGAAAUACUCUUCUGAAUGGUGCCUUGUGCUGGCAGAACCUGCAGAUUUAUUAAAAAAAAAAAAGCCAACAAAAAUGCAGGACUGCUCACUAGUGAAAAACAGGUACAUCCUUCACUUUGUGAUUUUUUGGGUGGCACUAGAGCUAGCCAGGAGAAGCAUCUGAGGAGAGAGAAGCUCUGAAGUCCAUUCCUGCCCACUCCAGGGAAGGAAGAAGCUGCCCACAGUGCCUGAGGGACAUGGGGACACGAGUCCCUGCGCAGCCAGGCACAGCAUCCUCGAGCCACCCUGCAUGCUGGGAUCCCUGCCUUGCCCACGAGCCAGUUGUUCCCUCUCCAGUACGCGCCGUACGCAGGGCUUUUGGUUUGUUUUUUAAGGGAAAAAACAAUAAUUUAUUUGCUUUGUUUUAAUCUCAUAACAAUGGGUAAUGGUAAUUUCUUCCUACCACUCUGUAGUGGCCUAGAAAAGGACAGCAUCAUCUCCACUGUAGCAAGAAGGCUUGUCCCAGGGCAUAAAAUUUUAAUUAGGAACAAUCACGCAGCCUUGAAAUGGGAAUUGCGAGCAGCAAAAAAAGUCAAACCAUCAAUAAAAUAUUCAAUGGCAGAAAUGUAUUAUUGACACAGACUUUAGAGCAGCUAAAAGCGGGAAGGCGGGGGAGCGGGUAUUGAGCCUCGCUGCGUUAAAUAACAGCGGGGCCCCGCCCGCCCGGCCGGCACAGGCCCCCCGAGCCGGCAGGAAUAUAGGUCACCCUCGGUGGGGAGCUCCCCAGGUAACACAGGAGUUUGAU
Onychostruthus taczanowskii (white-rumped snowfinch) is the source of this 2020-nucleotide long non-coding RNA. RefSeq lists it as uncharacterized. The record is from RefSeq and is a predicted model, not a curated record. Lineage: Eukaryota; Metazoa; Chordata; Aves; Passeriformes; Passeridae. The transcript is spliced from 3 exons.